UAGGGAAUCUUCCGCAAUGGACGCAAGUCUGACGGAGCAACGCCGCGUGAGUGAAGAAGGUUUUCGGAUCGUAAAACUCUGUUGUUAGAGAAGAACAAGUGCUAGAGUAACUGUUAGCGCCUUGACGGUAUCUAACCAGAAAGCCACGGCUAACUACGUGCCAGCAGCCGCGGUAAUACGUAGGUGGCAAGCGUUGUCCGGAUUUAUUGGGCGUAAAGCGAGCGCAGGCGGUUCCUUAAGUCUGAUGUGAAAGCCCCCGGCUCAACCGGGGAGGGUCAUUGGAAACUGGGGAACUUGAGUGCAGAAGAGGAGAGUGGAAUUCCAUGUGUAGCGGUGAAAUGCGUAGAUAUAUGGAGGAACACCAGUGGCGAAGGCGACUCUCUGGUCUGUAACUGACGCUGAGGCUCGAAAGCGUGGGUAGCAAACAGGAUUAGAUACCCUGGUAGUCCACGCCGUAACGAUGAGUGCUAAGUGUUGGAGGGUUUCCGCCCUUCAGUGCUGCAGUUAACGCAUUAAGCACUCCGCCUGGGGAGUACGACCGCAAGGUUG
This 549-nucleotide ribosomal RNA is filed under the name uncultured bacterium. Its description in RNAcentral is "bacterial SSU rRNA". It matches the Rfam family "Bacterial small subunit ribosomal RNA", at positions 355 to 896 of the family's 1533-position model. The record is from RNAcentral.